AACGAACGCUGGCGGCAUGCCUAACACAUGCAAGUCGAACGAGACCUUCGGGUCUAGUGGCGCACGGGUGCGUAAGGCGUGGGAACCUGCCCUUAGGUUCGGAAUAACUCCCCGAAAGGGGUGCUAAUACCGGAUAAUGUCUUCGGACCAAAGAUUUAUCGCCUUUGGGUGGGCCCGCGUUGGAUUAGCUAGUUGGUAGUGUAAAAGCCUACCAAGGCGACGAUCCAUAGCUGGUCUGUGAGGAUGAUCCGCCACACUGGAACUGCGACACGGCCCAGACCCCGACGGGAGGCAGCAGUGGGGUAUAUUGGACAAGGAGCGAAAGCCUGAUCCAGCAAUGCCGCGUGAGUGAUGAAGGCCUUAGGGUUGUAAAGCUCUUUUACCCGGGAUGAUAAUGACAGUACCGGGAGAAUAAGCUCCGGCUAACUCCGUG
Molecule: ribosomal RNA, 433 nt
Filed under: uncultured bacterium
Lineage: Bacteria
Description: partial 16S ribosomal RNA
Rfam family: Bacterial small subunit ribosomal RNA
Source: RNAcentral